Molecule: ribosomal RNA, 775 nt
Filed under: uncultured bacterium
Lineage: Bacteria
Description: bacterial SSU rRNA
Rfam family: Bacterial small subunit ribosomal RNA
Source: RNAcentral
UCGAACGGGCCCGGCUUCGGCCGGGCCAGUGGCGCAAGGGUGAGUAAGGCGACGGUAACCAACCCCAUGGUCGGGUAUAGCCGCGGGAAACUGCGGGUAAUCCCCAGCGACGUGCGGGGCCGGCAUCGGCCCUGCACCAAAGCCCCGGCGCCGUGGGACGGGCCGUCGUGGUAUUAGCUAGUUGGCGGGGUAACGGCCCACCAAGGCUGUGAUGCCUACCGGGCGUGCGAGCGUGGCCCGGCACACUGGGACUGAGACACUGCCCAGACUCCUACGGGAGGCUGCAGUCGAGAAUCUUCGGCAAUGGGCGCAAGCCUGACCGAGCGACGCCGCGUGGAGGAUGAAGGCCCUCGGGUUGUAAACUCCUGUCGAGGGGGAGGAAGGCGCAAGCUUGACCGAUCCCUGGAGGAAGCACGGGCUAAGUUCGUGCCAGCAGCCGCGGUAAGACGAACCGUGCGAACGUUAUUCGGAAUCACUGGGCUUAAAGCGCGUGUAGGCGGGUGGGAACGUCGGCCACUGAAAGCCCCCGGCUCAACCGGGGAAGGGGUGCCGAAACGGCCCGCCUGGAGGGGCGUAGGGGGACCUGGAACUUCCGGUGGAGCGGUGAAAUGCGCUGAGAUCGGAAGGAACGCCCGUGGCGAAAGCGAGGUCCUGGACGUCAUCUGACGCUGAGACGCGAAAGCUAGGGGAGCGAACGGGAUUAGAUACCCCGGUAGUCCUAGCCGUAAACGAUGGGCACUGGGUAGGGGGCUCGCCGAUGGGCUCCCUGCCGCAG